This 695-nucleotide ribosomal RNA is filed under the name uncultured bacterium. Its description in RNAcentral is "bacterial SSU rRNA". It matches the Rfam family "Bacterial small subunit ribosomal RNA", at positions 702 to 1391 of the family's 1533-position model. The record is from RNAcentral.
GGAAAUACCGAUGGCGAAAGGCAGCCAUCUGGCCUAAAUACUGACGCUGAGGGUACGAAAGCAUGGGGAGCAAACAGGAUUAGAUACCCUGGUAGUCCAUGCCGUAAACGAUGUCUACUAGCCGUUGGGGCCUUUGAGGGCUUUAGUGGCGCAGCUAACGCGAUAAGUAGACCGGCCUGGGGAGUACGGUCGCAAGACUAAAACUCAAAUGAAUUGACGGGGGCCCGCACAAGCGGUGGAGCAUGUGGUUUAAUUCGAUGCAACGCGAAGAACCUUACCUGGUCUUGACAUAGUAAGAACUUUCCAGAGAUGGAUUGGUGCCUUCGGGAACUUACAUACAGGUGCUGCAUGGCUGUGGUCAGCUCGUGUCGUGAGAUGUUGGGUUAAGUCCCGCAACGAGCGCAACCCUUUUCCUUGUUUGCCAGCGGGUUAAGCCGGGAACUUUAAGGAUACUGCCAGUGACAAACUGGAGGAAGGCGGGGACGACGUCAAGUCAUCAUGGCCCUUACGACCAGGGCUACACACGUGCUACAAUGGUCGGUACAAAGGGUUGCUACCUAGCGAUAGGAUGCUAAUCUCAAAAAGCCGAUCGUAGUCCGGAUUGGAGUCUGCAACUCGACUCCAUGAAGUCGGAAUCGCUAGUAAUCGCGGAUCAGAAUGCCGCGGUGAAUACGUUCCCGGGCCUUGUACACACC